GGAGCCGUAGUGUAGUGGUUAGCAUAUCUGCCUGUCACGCAGAAGGUCGCGGGUUCAAGUCCCGUCGGCUCCGCCA
Molecule: transfer RNA, 76 nt
Filed under: Truepera sp.
Lineage: Bacteria; Thermotogati; Deinococcota; Deinococci; Trueperales; Trueperaceae
Description: tRNA-Asp
Rfam family: tRNA
About the family: Transfer RNA (tRNA) molecules are approximately 80 nucleotides in length.
Source: RNAcentral